CACUCCUACGGGAGGCAGCAGUAGGGAAUCUUCGGCAAUGGACGGAAGUCUGACCGAGCAACGCCGCGUGAGUGAAGAAGGUUUUCGGAUCGUAAAGCUCUGUUGUAAGAGAAGAACGAGUGUGAGAGUGGAAAGUUCACACUGUGACGGUAUCUUACCAGAAAGGGACGGCUAACUACGUGCCAGCAGCCGCGGUAAUACGUAGGUCCCGAGCGUUGUCCGGAUUUAUUGGGCGUAAAGCGAGCGCAGGCGGUUAGAUAAGUCUGAAGUUAAAGGCUGUGGCUUAACCAUAGUACGCUUUGGAAACUGUUUAACUUGAGUGCAAGAGGGGAGAGUGGAAUUCCAUGUGUAGCGGUGAAAUGCGUAGAUAUAUGGAGGAACACCGGUGGCGAAAGCGGCUCUCUGGCUUGUAACUGACGCUGAGGCUCGAAAGCGUGGGGAGCAAACAGGAUUAGAUACCCUGGUAGUCCACGCCGUAAACGAUGAGUGCUAGGUGUUAGACCCUUUCCGGGGUUUAGUGCCGCAGCUAACGCAUUAAGCACUCCGCCUGGGGAGUACGACCGCAAGGUUGAAACUCAAAGGAAUUGACGGGGGCCCGCACAAG
RNAcentral lists this ribosomal RNA (604 nucleotides) under uncultured bacterium. RNAcentral describes it as "bacterial SSU rRNA". It matches the Rfam family "Bacterial small subunit ribosomal RNA", at positions 334 to 929 of the family's 1533-position model. The record is from RNAcentral.